GACGAACGCUGGCGGCGUGCCUAACACAUGCAAGUCGAACGAGAUCCAUGGGAGCUUGCUCCCGGAAGAUCUAGUGGCGAACGGGUGAGUAACACGUGAGAAACCUGCCCUGGAGUGGGGAAUAACUCGGGGAAACUCGAGCUAAUACCGCAUACCCUCGGAUGGUCGCAUGGCCGACCGAGGAAAAGAUUUAUCGCUCUAGGAGGGUCUCGCGGCCUAUCAGCUAGUUGGUGGGGUAACGGCCUACCAAGGCAACGACGGGUAGCUGGUUUGAGAGAACGAUCAGCCACACUGGGACUGAGACACGGCCCAGACUCCUACGGGAGGCAGCAGUGGGGAAUCUUGCGCAAUGGGCGAAAGCCUGACGCAGCGACGCCGCGUGCGGGAUGACGGCCUUCGUGGUUGUAAACCGCUUUCAGCAGGGACGAAAUGACGGUACCUGCAGAAGAAGCCCCGGCUAACUACGUGCCAGCAGCCGCGGUAAU
This 485-nucleotide ribosomal RNA is filed under the name uncultured bacterium. Its description in RNAcentral is "bacterial SSU rRNA". It matches the Rfam family "Bacterial small subunit ribosomal RNA", at positions 28 to 524 of the family's 1533-position model. The record is from RNAcentral.